Chiloscyllium plagiosum (whitespotted bambooshark) is the source of this 5942-nucleotide non-coding RNA. NCBI's taxonomy places the organism in Eukaryota, Metazoa, Chordata, Chondrichthyes, Orectolobiformes, Hemiscylliidae. The record is from RefSeq and is a predicted model, not a curated record.
GAAGAGUAUUUUGUGUUGGCCCUGCCUCCGCCGAAACAUUUCUAUUUCUUUGCUCUUUCCCCCCUCCAAGGGGACAGUGCUCCGGAGCCCGUCCCCGCGUCCCGACUGUAAAUUCCAGAGUCUGUUUGAGAGUCGGCGUUUGUGACUGGAGGCGAGCGCGUUGUUAAACUGAGAAUGGGAUUAGUGAGAAGUGACUGGAGGGCUCAGGACUGGACGCUGGGGAACAGGGACUGAAGGGAGACGCAGGACUCUGAUGGGGUGGCGGGGGAGGUUCGAGGCUGGAGUCUGGGGAUUAGAGACUUGAGAUUUGGGGAUUCGGAGCUGGAGAGGUGAGGCUGGGUGCGCUGAUGCUGGAGUCUGAGAGUUGGCUGCUGGACUCGCUAAGGUCCUUGCUGUUAAUAGUCUCGGCUCCUCGGUAAUCGCGUCGAAACAGAACAGCCGGUUGAACUUGAACGUUCCCACGGACUCCGGAGACCAAAGGAGCCGAUCCGCGCUGGAUUGCAAGGGAACACCAUGGAACAAAUGCUACAGACCAUCCUCUUCCUGUCUGCCGUAGAAUCUGCUUUCACCAGACAACCCAGUCAACCUACCAUCAAUGUUGCUGUUGUACUCGGAGGAUCUUGGUACCACAUGGAAAUCAGGGGCAGCUUUAAUCAAGAGACCUUCCAGGACCUGCCUGUACAAAUCAACACCGUCACAGUAGUAGUUAACAAUACCAAUCCCAGCAGCCUGAUCACUCACAUCUGUGAUGUGCUGGCCAAAUCCAGGAUCCAUGCUGUUAUUUUUGAGGAUGAUAUUGAAUCUGAGGCUGUGGCACAAAUUCUGGAUUUUACCUCUGCAGAAGUGUCAGCUCCAAUCAUAGGGAUGAGUGGAGGCUCUACUGUUGUGCUCACUCCAAAGGAGCAGCAUUCUGGAUUUCUACAGUUGGGUGCUUCAAUGGAACAGCAGAUCAGGGUCAUUUUCAAAGUAAUGGAAGAGUAUGAUUGGGGGAGCUUUACCAUCAUUACCAGUUAUUUCCCUGGAUAUCAGGAAUUCAUCACCCACAUUCAGCUUUUUAUUGAAACCAGCUAUUAUGGGUGGGAAAUUGAACAGACUCUUACUCUUGAAAUGACAAAAGAUGAGGACAAUUUCAAAACAAAGAGACUUCUGCAGCAGAUUGAUGCACAGGUUCUGAUUCUAUAUUGCUCAAGAGAGGAGGCAGAAAAUCUGUUUGAAUUGGCUGAACAAGUUAAUCUCCUUGGCCCAGGCUAUAUCUGGAUACUGUCCAGUAUCGCAAUAGGCAGCAUGGAACGAGUGGCGAAACAAUUUCCAGUCGGAUUAAUCAGCGUCAUGACAGAGAGAUGGAAGAUGAGCUUACAGCAGCGGGUGAGGGAUGGAGUGGCAAUCAUCGCAAAAGGUGCAGAAAGUUUUUAUAAAACAUACGGAUACAUGCCGGGACCAAGUGCUGACUGUCGGCAUCCAGCUCGAGGGGCCACAAGGAAUAUACUGUACAGGCACAUGUUGAACAUUAGCUGGGAAGGUAAAGACUUCUCUUUCAAUGAGGAUGGCUAUUUGGUGAGACCAUCGAUGGCUGUGGUCACACUGAACCGAAGCAGAUUUUGGGAAAUGGUUGGAAGAUGGGAAAAUGGCUUGAUAAGAAUGAAAUAUCCAGUGUGGCCAAGAUAUGGAAAAUUCCAGCAACCUGUAACUGACAGUGCCCAUUUAACUGUUGCCACAUUGGAGGAGAGGCCAUUUGUGAUUGUGGAAGAAGCAGAUCCUGAAAAUGGAGCGUGUGUACGGAAUACUGUCCCCUGCAGGAAGCAAGCAAACCUGAGUGAAAGCAUUGCAGAGACGUACACCAAGCUGUGCUGUAAAGGAUUUUGCAUCGACAUCCUGAAGAAACUCGCAAAAACUGUCAAAUUUUCCUAUGACCUUUACCUCGUGACCAAUGGGAAACACGGCAAGAAAGUUCGGGGAACCUGGAACGGAAUGAUUGGAGAGGUUUUCUACCAGAGAGCAGACAUGGCCAUCGGAUCUCUCACCAUCAAUGAAGAGCGCUCGGAGAUUGUGAGUUUUUCUGUCCCCUUUGUGGAAACAGGAAUCAGUGUGAUGGUGGCCAGGAGCAAUGGUACUGUCUCCCCAUCAGCUUUUCUUGAACCUUACAGCCCCGCAGUGUGGAUGAUGAUGUUUGUGAUGUGUCUGACGGUGGUUGCUCUCACAGUCUGUCUAUUUGAGUACUUCAGUCCCGUUGGAUACAACAGAAACCUCAUGAAUGGCAAAAUUACAGGAGGGCCAACAUUUACCAUUGGGAAAUCAGUGUGGCUCCUCUGGGCACUUGUCUUCAACAAUUCUGUCCCCAUCGAAAAUCCUAAAGGAACAACAAGCAAAAUCAUGGUCUUAAUCUGGGCUUUUUUUGCUGUCAUCUUCCUGGCAAGUUAUACAGCAAACCUGGCAGCAUUUAUGAUUCAAGAGCAGUUCAUUGACACUGUCUCUGGUCUCAGUGACAAAAAGUUUCAGAAGCCACAGGAUCACUAUCCGCCGUUUCGAUUUGGUACGGUUCCCAAUGGCAGCACAGAGCGGAAUAUCAAGAACAAUUACCCAGACAUGCAUACUCACAUGACUAAAUAUAAUCAACGCUCUGUGGCAGAUGCUCUUGACAGUUUAAAAUCAGGGAAGCUUGAUGCCUUUAUUUAUGAUGCAGCUGUUCUUAAUUAUAUGGCUGGGAAGGAUGAGGGCUGUAAACUCGUUACCAUCGGAAGUGGCAAAGUAUUUGCAACGACUGGUUACGGAAUUGCUUUGCAGAAAAACUCCAAAUGGAAGAGAGCCAUUGACCUGGCCCUCUUACAGUUCCUGGGCGAUGGAGAGACACAUAAGCUGCACACUGUGUGGUUGACAGGAAUCUGUCAGAAUGAGAAGAAUGAGGCAAUGAGCAGCAAAUUGGACAUUGAUAAUAUGGCUGGUGUCUUCUACAUGCUCCUGGUGGCUAUGGGCCUCAGUCUGCUGGUCUUCGCUUGGGAACACUUGGUUUAUUGGAAGCUGAGACAUCAUGUGAAGAAAUCCAGCAAGACAGAUUUUCUUCUGGCAAUCAGCAGGGGAAUCUACAGUUGUUUCAGUGGUGUACAGGAAGUCUCCAGCCCACUCCAUGUGGCCUCUCCCAUUGUCUCCUCGAGCUUUUCUCAGGCCAAUAUGAAGAUGAUGUUGCAGGCGGCCAAAGAUUUAGUCUCAUCCACAAACGUGGAAAGUUCUUUGGAGAACGCAACAAAAACAAUAGAACAUUGGACACGUGCAGGUGAAAACCUCACAAACAGACUUCCUAAAGCACCAUCACAGCAGAUUGAAGGGUCAGAGGCCAUGGAUAGCCAACUUUCAGUUCCCUAUAUUUCUAACAGACACCAACUUUGCUACCUUCCAGCAACAUUAUCUCCAUCUCUGGCUUCUGAACGCGAGACAAGAUGGUCAGGUCGACCAAUAAUUAAAUAUAAGAACAGACUAGAAAGCAAAUAUGUAGCUUCAAAACCUUUUACUGAGAUUCACAACCCUCAUUCCAUGACAUCAAAUGAGUUCCCUAAGCACUCCCAACAUACCAGGGGAACUGAUAUGAGAAAAGACUUGGAAUCCCCGUAUAUUCCAUUUAUCAGCAAUAAUGAAUUACAUCACCAGGAUAUUUAUAACAGAAAAUAUUUCACAAGACGACUAUCGUUACCUUGUAGGAAAUUGGCCAGUUGCUCUGCAGGGCAUGUUGCUUCUCAGAGUGGGACAAAGACAGUGCCUGCAGUGAAAUCUUGUAUUGGAUUGAAUGAGAAAUGGCCUGUGCGAAACUUGCACCAUCCAGUGUCAUAUCCCAACCAGACCAAUUGUAGUUCAUGUAUGAGACUUUAUUCUGGGUCACAGUCAGAAGAACUACCCUCACUGACCAGACGAUCUUCAUAUAUUAAAGCAACAAAGGAACCAGAGGAAACCUCUAGGUUUCAAGGCAGAACAGUAAACUUUGAAAAGCUGGGACGGCGUGGAGAAAUUACUGAUCUGUUCUCCAGCCUGAACAAUGAAUUUCUGGAACCAAGAAGGGACACUGCCAAGCAUUCCUCAGAUCGGAGAGAAGCAAUCCUGGGUCAUGACAAGAAGUUCUUGUAUUCCAGCUCACCAAGUAGACCCAGGUAUUCUCCACCUGCCAGACUUCCCUCAUACAGAGAGGCCUGCCUGCAAAACUCAGCUGCUCUGAGACAUGCCUCCACAGAACUACACCAACAGUCGUGGUCACAUUCCUGUCCUAGUCCCUCCAUGUACGUCUGGCAUCGCCGUGUGGGCUCCCAGCAUUUCAAUUGGUUGAUUGGAUCAGGACACCAAUCCUGUGACAGAGACAUUGUGAUGAAGUACUUAGAAAAAAGGACUCCAUACCAUGACAAUCCUGCGAGGGAGCCCACGGCUGGAAGGAGCAGAAUGGUCGACCAUAGGGUGACAGCUAGAGGAUGCGAGGAGCUGGAGGCUGGAAGAGCAGGAGUCAGUUGCACUCAUUUGAGAAAAUCGUGUGCAAGGUUUUCCAGCCUUGAAUCUGAGGUAUAGAUUCAGUAAAAUUUAAAGAAUUAAACUCCAGGAGUGAAAACCUUCCUUUCAUUCAGUGAUCCCCUUCUUCGUUCAAUUACUUUGAGUGUUUUCCAACUUCUCCCUCUCUCUCUCUGAUUAAAACACACCUUGAUUAUUUUAUUUAGCCAACUGGGUUGAAAGGACUUUUCUUCCCAAUCUAACUCUUCCAGUCCCUAAUACCUGAGCUAUUCACCAUAAUGCUACAUGGGAAAAAGAUGUCAUGACAAUCAAGCAGGUCUCAGGAAACCACGGUGGCAGUCUGAUUCGGCACAACAUACACUGGGCUUGGACCUGCCACUGGAGGGCUUGGACUUGCCCUUGGUGGACCUGGACCUAUCCCCCAUCCCCUGGGGCCUGGACCCACACAUCCUGGGCCUGGACUUGGACCAAACUGCUGAUGACUAUUCUAAUCUAAGAAAUUCAAUUUCCUGAACAAUGACUUCUUUGUGCUGUGUUCAAGUCAGUACACGUUUAAGUACAAGAUCUAUUUAGCGUCCUGCUCACUCUAUAGUUAAUGGUACCUCUAUUCAUUCUUCAGACAUUUAAUUACAUUUACACAUCUCUGACCAUACCAAACACAUUACAAAACUAAUCUCUGUAUUAAUAUCACAAACACUCAUCAGCUUCAUAUCCAAAAUAUUACGGGAAACAAAAGCACCUACUAAAUGGGUUGUUUUCUGUCCUGUAUUGUGCAUUAUAAAACUCAGUUCCAUGCAUAAUGGGCCACGCUGAUCCACUGUGUGUAUAAGCCUAACACCAAUGGUACACCUUUGCAUCACCCCUCACCCUGCCACAGCCCUGCAGUCAAUCACAUUGACACACACACCCCUACAUAUACAGAACAAGACAGAAUUUGGUGAGGAGAGGCGGAGAGCAAGAAUGGGGAGUGAGAGAGAUAUGGAAAAAUAGGAGAGACAGAAACAACAGGAUGGGUUGGUGAGGAAAGAGGGAAGGGGAAGAUACAAUGAGGUGGGAUGGAAAGAACGAGGGGGAGAAAGGGGGAAGUGGGAGUUAAGGUGCAGAAUAGGUAGGAGGGAGAAAGUGAGAAAGAAGGUAUGAAUAGGAGACAGAGACAGAGUCUUCCUUCAGUGAACUACAUAUGUUAGUACAUGACAACACAAUCUAUGCUGUACAACUGGCCCAACUCACUAUGAUUCUAUAUCAGAAUGUCACUUUGUAUGAUGAGGCCACAUUAGUGUAUUCUGUACUGAGUGAUGACAGCCAUUGUUUACAUUAAGUGUUUUAAUUGUAGCAAUAAAAAUAAAGAGUAAGAAAUAAAGGAGGACAAUUGUUGAGCACCAGUUCCUGCUGGUAAUGUUUGCCUCGCAUGUUGAUCUUCAUUUCUUUAACUGAACCUGAAAAUUACGAACAACACACAAUCU